Molecule: long non-coding RNA, 918 nt
Organism: Micropterus dolomieu (smallmouth bass)
Lineage: Eukaryota; Metazoa; Chordata; Actinopteri; Centrarchiformes; Centrarchidae
Exons: 3
Source: RefSeq, a predicted model, not a curated record
CUCACAAGAACAUAACAUUAUUAAUAAAUGUUCUCACCGAUAAUAGCAGCAGCCAGUCCAUGCAAAAUAGCGCAGUUUACUUCCUGUAUUUUCCCGGCGCCCCUUGACCUCUCGGCAAGCACGCGGCUGUUUGAGUCAGCAACGCUAUGCCCUCUGCUGUCUAAAAUCAACACCUGCAGCACUCUCGCUACAGCAGAAAAUUGUGCAAAUAGAGGUUUUGUAACUUGAAUCUCUUGUAUAUUUAAGGUUUGAUUAUAUCACCUGGUUACACAUAUUUGUUAAAACUGUCAGUAUUUCCUGUGAAGAGCCCUAUAAAGAGUCGCUUCAUCUCUGUUCACUCUAAUGGACCAGUUUUUUACAGCAAUGGCGGGUCAUGGAGCGUCUGAAAGGUUCCCGGAAGUUAGCAGCAAAUGCUUGCAGCGCAGCGGAGCUGCAUUUGAAAAUGCUAUUUGGGACGCACGUUUAUCAGAAAUGGGACAAACAGUAAAGAGCGCACGCUUCAGGAGCGUCAAGAUUAAGGUGGUGAGGAAGUCAAGGUCCUCCCCAGCCCGGCCCCGAACAGACAGACCCUUCGGACCCUUCCACUGUUACCCCUCAACAGACUGAACCUAAUGAUGUGGAUCUGAGCAGAAGUUCAUGUUCUGAGACUGCGUACAGUGAGGCAAAGAAGAGAGAGCUUUAUGCCUGGGAUGCAGUCGAGGAUGACGUGCUGACGGUGUCCUCUGAAUGUUCGGCACCAGUCACUUUUGCCUACAACAUGCUGAUUAGAGGUUAACACGCUCCACAGAGCCCUGGUAGGAGAAUCCAUGUCCCAGUUUGAUGAUGGCACCACAUGCCCACCAGGUCCAAAGGUUGCUUCUAGUGUCAGGCUGCUUCCUGUUUGAUUAACCAGAACUGCAGUUUCCAUGAACUGAUGGC